GGGCCUGUAAUGUGCAGACAUGCGGAACAACACCGGAGGCCAACGCGACACUCUGGUCUGGGACAGAGGCUGAUAUGCGAAAGUCUGGGGAUCAAACAGGAUUAGAUACCCUGCUAGUCGACACUGUAAAGGUUGUACAGUAGGUGUUAGUGGAGUUAUUCUCUAGUGCCGUAGCAAACACGUUGAGUGUAGCGCCUGGCCAGUAUGGCCGCUAGGGUGAUACUGAAAGGAUUUGAGGGGGGCGCGCACUAGCGGCGGAGCAGGUGGUUUAAUUCGAUGAAACGCGUAAAACCUUGGCAAGGCUUUACAUACCGUAGACGACCGUACAGAUACUGUUUCCAGCAAUGGCUGCUGACAGGUGCUGCAUGGCUGUCGUCANCUCGUGUCGUGAGAUGUUGGGUUAAGUCCCGCAACGAGCGCAACCCUCAUUCCUAGUUACCAACAGGUAAAGCUGGGGACUUCUAGGGAAUCUGCCAGGGAGAAUCAUGGAGGAAGGAGGGGAUGAAGUCAAGUGUCGCAUGGCCNUUAUGCCCUGGGCGACACACGUGCUUACAAUGGGCUGUACAAAGGGAAGCGAAACCCGCGAGGGGGAGCAAAUGCCUAGAAAAGCCUUCCUUUCAGUUUAGGAGUGGCCAGGGCUGUCAAACUUUGUCUUGGCACGAAAUUUCGGAAUGCNGCUAAAUACGAGACGCUUUUGCCUUUUCUNAAUUUUGUCAG
This 717-nucleotide ribosomal RNA is filed under the name uncultured bacterium. Its description in RNAcentral is "bacterial SSU rRNA". It matches the Rfam family "Bacterial small subunit ribosomal RNA", at positions 680 to 1329 of the family's 1533-position model. The record is from RNAcentral.